This 253-nucleotide ribosomal RNA is filed under the name uncultured bacterium. RNAcentral describes it as "partial 16S ribosomal RNA". It matches the Rfam family "Bacterial small subunit ribosomal RNA", at positions 524 to 776 of the family's 1533-position model. The record is from RNAcentral.
UACGAAGGGUGCAAGCGUUACUCGGAAUUACUGGGCGUAAAGGGUGCGUAGGUGGUUCUUUAAGUCUGCUGUGAAGGCCCCGGGCUCAACCUGGGAAUGGCAGUGGAUACUGGAGAGCUAGAGUGCGGUAGAGGGUAGUGGAAUUCCUGGUGUAGCGGUGAAAUGCGCAGAUAUCAGGAAGAACACCCGUGGCGAAAGCGGCUCUCUGGGACGGUACUGACGCUGAGACGCGAAAGCGUGGGGAGCGAACAGG